AAAUUGAAGAGUUUGAUCAUGGCUCAGAUUGAACGCUGGCGGCAGGCCUAACACAUGCAAGUCGAACGGUAACAGGAAGAAGCUUGCUUCUUUGCUGACGAGUGGCGGACGGGUGAGUAAUGUCUGGGAAACUGCCUGAUGGAGGGGGAUAACUACUGGAAACGGUAGCUAAUACCGCAUAACGUCGCAAGACCAAAGAGGGGGACCUUCGGGCCU
RNAcentral lists this ribosomal RNA (216 nucleotides) under Escherichia coli. RNAcentral's name for it is "partial 16S ribosomal RNA". It matches the Rfam family "Bacterial small subunit ribosomal RNA", at positions 1 to 215 of the family's 1533-position model. The record is from RNAcentral. Lineage: Bacteria; Pseudomonadati; Pseudomonadota; Gammaproteobacteria; Enterobacterales; Enterobacteriaceae. RNAcentral also lists the same sequence under 1 other name.